Molecule: ribosomal RNA, 448 nt
Filed under: uncultured bacterium
Lineage: Bacteria
Description: partial 16S ribosomal RNA
Rfam family: Bacterial small subunit ribosomal RNA
Source: RNAcentral
GGCCAGACUCCUACGGGAGGCAGCAGUGGGGAAUAUUGCACAAUGGGGGAAACCCUGAUGCAGCGACGCCGCGUGAGCGAUGAAGUAUUUCGGUAUGUAAAGCUCUAUCAGCAGGGAAGAAAAUGACGGUACCUGACUAAGAAGCCCCGGCUAACCACGUGCCAGCAGCCGCGGUAAUACGUAGGGGGCAAGCGUUAUCCGGAUUUACUGGGUGUAAAGGGAGCGUAGACGGCGGUGCAAGCCAGAUGUGAAAGCCCGGGGCUCAACCCCGGGACUGCAUUUGGAACUGUGCUGCUAGAGUGUCGGAGAGGCAGGCGGAAUUCCUAGUGUAGCGGUGAAAUGCGUAGAUAUUAGGAGGAACACCAGUGGCGAAGGCGGCUUACUGGACGGCAACUGACGCUGAGGCUCGAAAGCGUGGGGAGCAAACAGGAUUAGAUACCCCGGUACC